This 76-nucleotide transfer RNA is filed under the name Acidipropionibacterium jensenii. RNAcentral describes it as "tRNA-Leu". It matches the Rfam family "tRNA". From Rfam's summary of the family: Transfer RNA (tRNA) molecules are approximately 80 nucleotides in length. The record is from RNAcentral. Lineage: Bacteria; Bacillati; Actinomycetota; Actinomycetes; Propionibacteriales; Propionibacteriaceae.
GCCCUCGUAGCCCAACGGUAGAGGCAGGCGGCUUAAACCCGCUGAAGUGCGGGUUCGAAUCCCGCCGGGGGCACCC